GACGAACGCUGGCGGCGUGCUUAACACAUGCAAGUCGAACGCUGAAGCUUGGUGCUUGCACUGGGUGGAUGAGUGGCGAACGGGUGAGUAAUACGUGAGUAACCUGCCCUUGACUCUGGGAUAAGCCUGGGAAACUGGGUCUAAUACUGGAUACGACAUGCCACUGCAUGGUGGUGUGUGGAAAGGGUUUUAGUGGUUUUGGAUGGGCUCACGGCCUAUCAGCUUGUUGGUGGGGUAAUGGCCUACCAAGGCGACGACGGGUAGCCGGCCUGAGAGGGUGACCGGCCACACUGGGACUGAGACACGGCCCAGACUCCUACGGGAGGCAGCAGUGGGGAAUAUUGCACAAUGGGCGGAAGCCUGAUGCAGCGACGCCGCGUGAGGGAUGACGGCCUUCGGGUUGUAAACCUCUUUCAGCACGGAAGAAGCGAGAGUGACGGUACGUGCAGAAGAAGCGCCGGCUAACUACGUG
RNAcentral lists this ribosomal RNA (472 nucleotides) under uncultured bacterium. RNAcentral describes it as "partial 16S ribosomal RNA". It matches the Rfam family "Bacterial small subunit ribosomal RNA", at positions 28 to 507 of the family's 1533-position model. The record is from RNAcentral.